UGGGACACAGUACUUGCCCUCAAGGGGAGGA
RNAcentral lists this non-coding RNA (31 nucleotides) under Rattus norvegicus (Norway rat). Lineage: Eukaryota; Metazoa; Chordata; Mammalia; Rodentia; Muridae. The record is from RNAcentral.